RNAcentral lists this ribosomal RNA (497 nucleotides) under uncultured bacterium. RNAcentral describes it as "partial 16S ribosomal RNA". The stretch from base 54 to 497 matches the Rfam family "Bacterial small subunit ribosomal RNA", at positions 35 to 507 of the family's 1533-position model. The record is from RNAcentral.
GGGGGGGGGGGGGGGGGGGCGGGGGGCGGGCGGGGGGGGGGGGGGGGGGGGGGGCGGGCGGCGGGGGGGUUGGGGGGGGGGGGGUGGGGAGCGCGGGGAUGGCGUACCGCUGAGACUGGGAGGACUUCGGGACACCGGAGCUACGACCUGAUCAUGUUUGGACCCGCAUGGUGCAAACGUGAGAGCCGGUCUGGCUGUCACUUAUAGAUGGAUCCGCGCUGCAUUAGCUAGUUGGUAAGGUAACGGCUUACCAAGGCAACGAGGCAUAGCCGACCUGAGAGGGUGAUCGGCCACACUGGAACUGAGACACGGUCCAGACUCCUACGGGAGGCAGCAGUAGGGAAUCUUCCGCAAUGGGCGAAAGCCUGACGGAGCAACGCCGCGUGAGUGAUGAAGGUCUUCGGAUCGUAAAACUCUGUUAUUAGGGAAGAACAUAUGUGUAAGUAACUGUGCACAUCUUGACGGUACCUAAUCAGAAAGCCACGGCUAACUACGUG